UCUCCGUUGGUGAACCAGCGGAGGGAUCAUUACAGGACUCGCAAGACUCCUUACACCCUGUGAACCUUACUGUAUACGCGUUGCUUCGGCGGGUCCGCCCGCCGGCAGCAUACCACAUUCUGUUUCUCUGCGUUGGCAUCUCGAGAAAAAAGCAAAUAAGUUAAAACUUUCAACAACGGAUCUCUUGGUUCUG
This 193-nucleotide unclassified non-coding RNA is filed under the name Chloridium humicola. RNAcentral's name for it is "partial contains small subunit ribosomal RNA, internal transcribed spacer 1, and 5.8S ribosomal RNA". The record is from RNAcentral. RNAcentral also lists the same sequence under 1 other name. Lineage: Eukaryota; Fungi; Ascomycota; Sordariomycetes; Chaetosphaeriales; Chaetosphaeriaceae.